UGGGGAAUUUUGGACAAUGGGCGAAAGCCUGAUCCAGCAAUGCCGCGUGCAGGAUGAAGGCCUUCGGGUUGUAAACUGCUUUUGUACGGAACGAAAAAGCUCCUUCUAAUACAGGGGGCCCAUGGCACGGUGACCGUAAGAAUAAGCACCGGCUAACUACGUGCCAGCAGCCGCGGUAAUACGUAGGGUGCGAGCGUUAAUCGGAAUUACUGGGCGUAAAGCGUGCGCAGGCGGUUAUGUAAGACAGAUGUGAAAUCCCCGGCUCAAGCCUGGAACUGCAUUGUGACUGCAUGGCUAGAGUACGGUAGAGGGGGGAUGGAA
Molecule: ribosomal RNA, 321 nt
Filed under: uncultured Delftia sp.
Lineage: Bacteria; Pseudomonadati; Pseudomonadota; Betaproteobacteria; Burkholderiales; Comamonadaceae
Description: bacterial SSU rRNA
Rfam family: Bacterial small subunit ribosomal RNA
Source: RNAcentral